AGGAUGAACGCUAGCGACAGGCCUAACACAUGCAAGUCGAGGGGCAGCACAAGGAGCAAUCUGAGGUGGCGACCGGCGCACGGGUGAGUAACACGUAUGCAACCUGCCUGUAAGCGGGGAAUAACCCGUCGAAAGACGGACUAAUACCGCACAAUACUAAAUUACUGCAUGGUAAUUUAUUUAAACAUUUAUGGCUUACAGAUGGGCAUGCGCAUGAUUAGCUAGUUGGAGAGGUAACGGCUCCCCAAGGCAACGAUCAUUAGGGGUUCUGAGAGGAAGGUCCCCCACACUGGUACUGAGACACGGACCAGACUCCUACGGGAGGCAGCAGUGAGGAAUAUUGGUCAAUGGACGAGAGUCUGAACCAGCCAAGUCGCGUGCAGGAAGAAUGUCCUUAAUGGAUUGUAAACUGCUUUUGCAGGGGAAUAAAGUGCAUCACGUGUGAUGUUUUGUAUGUACUCUGCGAAUAAGGAUCGGCUAACUCCGUGCCAGCAGCCGC
RNAcentral lists this ribosomal RNA (499 nucleotides) under uncultured bacterium. Its description in RNAcentral is "bacterial SSU rRNA". It matches the Rfam family "Bacterial small subunit ribosomal RNA", at positions 26 to 518 of the family's 1533-position model. The record is from RNAcentral.